RNAcentral lists this ribosomal RNA (253 nucleotides) under uncultured bacterium. RNAcentral describes it as "partial 16S ribosomal RNA". It matches the Rfam family "Bacterial small subunit ribosomal RNA", at positions 524 to 776 of the family's 1533-position model. The record is from RNAcentral.
UACGUAGGGUGCGAGCGUUAAUCGGAAUUACUGGGCGUAAAGCGUGCGCAGGCGGUUCGUUAAGUUCGUUGUGAAAGCCCCGGGCUCAACCUGGGAACUGCAAUGGAAACUGGCGGGCUUGAAUGCGGCAGAGGGGGGUGGAAUUCCGCGUGUAGCAGUGAAAUGCGUAGAUAUCAGGAGGAAUACCGAUGGCGAAGGCAGGUCUCUGGGCUGACACUGACGCUCAUGCACGAAAGCGUGGGGAGCAAACAGG